RNAcentral lists this ribosomal RNA (253 nucleotides) under uncultured bacterium. RNAcentral describes it as "partial 16S ribosomal RNA". It matches the Rfam family "Bacterial small subunit ribosomal RNA", at positions 57 to 305 of the family's 1533-position model. The record is from RNAcentral.
GCAAGUCGAACGCUCUCGAUCUUCGGAUCAAUGUGAGAGUGGCGAACGGGUGAGUAACACGUAAGAAACCUGCCCCAAAGACGAGGAUAACCAUUGGAAACGAUGGCUAAUACUGGAUAGGAUAUAAGAUCGCAUGGUCUAAUAUUUAAAGGUGCGUAUGCACUACUUUGGGAUGGUCUUGCGCAGCAUUAGCUAGUUGGUAGGGUAACGGCCUACCAAGGCGACGAUGCUUAGGUGGUCUGAGAGGAUGAGC